GCAAUGUCAUUCCUGUUCUCCCCAGAAUUGGUGAAAUCAGCAACAGAACUAUUCAUUUCAUUGAGCCUGGAAAAUCCAGUUUGUAUGACCAGGGAGAAGAAUGGAUUAGAGCAGCCACUAGUCAGUCUCUUCCAAGCA
This is a long non-coding RNA of Homo sapiens (human), 138 nucleotides long. NCBI's taxonomy places the organism in Eukaryota, Metazoa, Chordata, Mammalia, Primates, Hominidae. The record is from Ensembl.